AGGUCUUGACAUACUCGUGCUAUCCUUAGAGAUAAGGAGUUCCUUCGGGACACGGGAUACAGGUGGUGCAUGGUUGUCGUCAGCUCGUGUCGUGAGAUGUUGGGUUAAGUCCCGCAACGAGCGCAACCCUUAUUACUAGUUGCCAUCAUUAAGUUGGGCACUCUAGUGAGACUGCCGGUGAUAAACCGGAGGAAGGUGGGGAUGACGUCAAAUCAUCAUGCCCCUUAUGACCUGGGCUACACACGUGCUACAAUGGAUGGUACAACGAGUCGCCAACCCGCGAGGGUGCGCUAAUCUCUUAAAACCAUUCUCAGUUCGGAUUGCAGGCUGCAACUCGCCUGCAUGAAGUCGGAAUCGCUAGUAAUCGCGGAUCAGCACGCCGCGGUGAAUACGUUCCCGGGCC
RNAcentral lists this ribosomal RNA (403 nucleotides) under uncultured bacterium. RNAcentral's name for it is "bacterial SSU rRNA". It matches the Rfam family "Bacterial small subunit ribosomal RNA", at positions 976 to 1380 of the family's 1533-position model. The record is from RNAcentral.